UGAGUAUUUAUAUUACAGCAGAGCUCAGAGGCUUCUUGCUGAGAUUCAGGCAUUGCCGUGCAAGCCGAGAGUAAAAGACUCUUCCUGCCCCAAACAGUUUAUAGUCUAAACAGAAAUGACUGGUGAUAAAUAGCAGACAAAAAGGCAGCACUAUUGCAACACAGCUAAUGCUAAAGAAAGACUGCAAAACCCAUGAGAUUACUCUAAAAAUAAAUGUUGAGGUUUUUAUUUGUUUUAUAGACAACUAAAAUUCUUAUGUUCUUAAAGCUAGAAAGUUUCUGGUUGCUGUAACAGCUGCAACACUUGUUUACUCGUGACUCCAGAAGGUAAAAUGAACACAGCACUCCAGUCCUCCUCCUCUCAAACCCAUCUCAAAUUUUUUUUCUGUUGAAGGGGAAGUGAGCAGGGGGUUGGUGGUGCUUAGUUGCCAGCUGGGUUAAACCACAACACCUGUCCACAGAAAACACUGACUAAAGCUACACACCAGUUUCUUGUGCCUUUCCACUCGUGGGGCAGAAAUUCCCUUAAGAUUGCACAAACACAACUGUUUUCCCCACCCAUGAAAAUUAUUUUUAAGAAAAGUAGUGUUUAAUUUUCACAUACUUGAUCUUUCUCCAUUAUUGUCAGCACACAGUUCAGUUUCCUGUAUCUAUUCCUGAAUCACUGGGAUCCACCACUUCCAAACCUGUGGAUUUGCUGAUCCGUCCCUUGCAUUUGACUGUGGCAUUUGACACAGACAGCUGAGCAGGAAAAAAUCCAUGGAAGAAGUGGACCUACACUAAAAUUCUUCCUUAAAGGUGCAGCACAGGAGGCUGAACUCUGAGGUCUUGGGGCUGGAGGCAGAUGGAAGAUCCAAAUCUCAUUGGACUUAUACACCUGAGCUCAAGACUGUUCAAAAUCUGUCUUUAAAGGUAAAAUACAUUUGUCAUUUCUGUAUGUAUUCUAAAGUGAGCAGAGACCAGGUCUCUCAUUCCUUUUAUGCCUAGUGAGAACAUCCAGUUGGUUCUGUGUGCAUCUUGGGGAAGCUAGGAAGGAUUACAGGACACUUAAGCAGCAGAGUAAGGAAUCAGGUUUUGGUUGGAGUUAUGCAGUGCCCCUGAUAGGAUGAUUAGUAGUUACCCCACAUGGAAGAGCUCUAAUAGCAGAGGCUCUGAGCUC
RNAcentral lists this long non-coding RNA (1158 nucleotides) under Cyanistes caeruleus (blue tit). RNAcentral describes it as "lncRNA (ENSCCEG00000021183.1)". Lineage: Eukaryota; Metazoa; Chordata; Aves; Passeriformes; Paridae. The record is from RNAcentral.